This is a long non-coding RNA of Glycine soja, 181 nucleotides long. RefSeq lists it as uncharacterized. Lineage: Eukaryota; Viridiplantae; Streptophyta; Magnoliopsida; Fabales; Fabaceae. The transcript has 3 exons. The record is from RefSeq and is a predicted model, not a curated record.
GCAAACUGGGCUGCGCUUCCGUGACUACAACCACAUUGUCGAGUUCGCGUUUGUGGAGUUCGUGUCUGCGCUUCCAUCGAAGGUACAUGAUUCCUAUUUGUUGUGAGAGUGAAAUGAUGGGCAGCAGCACCAACUGAGGGCUAUCAUUUACUACUGCUAAUUGGCGUUGCUGCGGAAGCGC